CCUACGUGGGCAGCAGGGAGGAAUAUUGGGCAAUGGGGGCAACCCUGACCCAGCCAUGCCGCGUGAGUGAAGAAGGUCUUCGGAUUGUAAAGCUCUUUCGGACGUGACGAUGAUGACGGUAGCGUCUAAAGAAGCACCGGCAAACUUCGUGCCAGCAGCCGCGGUAAUACGAAGGGUGCGAGCGUUGUUCGGAAUUACUGGGCGUAAAGGGAGUGUAGGCGGAUAUGUAAGAGAGCGGUGAAAUGCCGGGGCUCAACCCCGGAACUGCCAUUAUGACUAUGUAUCGAGAGUAAUGGAGAGGAUAGCGGAAUACCCAGUGUAGAGGUGAAAUGCGUAGAUAUUAGGAGGAACACCAGUGGCGAAGGCGGCCUGCUGGACGACAACUGACGGUGAGGCGCGAAAGCGUGGGGAGCAAACAGGAUUAGAUACCCUGGUAGUC
This 439-nucleotide ribosomal RNA is filed under the name uncultured bacterium. Its description in RNAcentral is "partial 16S ribosomal RNA". It matches the Rfam family "Bacterial small subunit ribosomal RNA", at positions 338 to 795 of the family's 1533-position model. The record is from RNAcentral.